GGGAUCAAAUUUGAGCUGCAGCUGCAAUCUACACCAUAGCUGCAGCAACACCAGAUCCUUAACCCACUGCUCCAGGCUGGGGAUGGAACACCUCCAGAACUGCUGCAGUCAGAUUUUUAACCUACUGCACCAAAGCAGGAACUCCUGGAAAUGCAGCAUUUUUAAUUUGUUCACUGCUCCGCACACUCACUCACAACUCCAAGACUCACAUCAAUGUGGAAAACACUUUGAACCAAAAGGCACAGUUCCCAGCCUUAUGCAAAAUGACACAUUAGCCAGAGAAUGAGGUUUAACCUCGGUCAGGUGGCAGGGCACAAGACAGACUGUGAAUAUCUGUGCUAAUUCUGAAACAGUAUAAAUUCCUGGCCGUCUUAACAAAAUACAGUGCUCUUUUAUGUGGCUGCGCACAGUCAGGCCAGUAUCAUGGUUCAGAGCAUGGAUGCUGGUGCCAGGUUGCCGGGGUUGGUCAGCAUUUCAAGCUUGGGCAGAUGAUUUCACCUGCCUGCACCUCCAUGUCCCCAGGUGUGAAUGAGCAGGAGGAUAAUACGCCCUGCAAAAGAUUUUAAGAGGAAUACGCCAGUUGGCGAACAUGGAGAAGUAAAACUGGUGUGUGGCCCGGAGGGUGCCCUAUGUGAGUGUUUGCUAUUGUUAUGAAUACAUUUAUGAUCUUGUAUAUUUCAGGAACCCAGUUUGGAAAGUGAGACACAAAAAUCAGUCUGAGAAAGUAAAGUUUAUACGUACAAAGUGGUCUCAAAAUUCUUAACAAGGUAAACCGUUGUUUGGUUUUAAAGAGCUUUUAACAGUCUCAGAAUGCAUUUUUCUCCUGAGCCCAAAGAAAAACCAAUAAAACACUUUAGAAAAUUAGUUCCAUUGUGGUAUACCUUUUAGCAGUUACUUAUGACUUAGAGAUUAGGAUCCCAAAGGAUUAUUUGGCUUAUCCAGGUUUUUUCAUAACCUCUAAUUUAUAUAAUGAUUCAGUCAUACAAUAGAGAAGGGACCUUGUCUUAAACUUUUAAAACAAGUGCAACAUGGAGUAGAAGUACAGGGACAGGCACUCAGCAAGUAUUCAUGACUGAUGUCAUUAGCACCAUGGCUCGGAUCCAUCAUGGUUAUGAGCCUGGUACCCAGCAAAUGCUUUACAUUCGCUGGGUCACUUCAUCUUCACAGCAACCUUUUGUGUAGGCUCCAUCAUUAUGUCCAUUCUUAGGGAAGCAAUUAAAACUUAAUGAGGUCAAUUAAAUGACCAAGUACCACACAGCCUGUAGCGUGGCUGAGGUCAGGAAUGGAACCCAGGCUGGCUGAAAACAACUGAGCGAUAACACCCCAGACUUUUCUCUUAGAGUCAGUCACUGUUACCCUCUGCCACAUUUGCUUUAUUGCUCUCUGUCCCUAUCCAUCUCUCUCUCUCUCUCUGUCUGUAUCUAUAAGCAGACCUGGCCUCUUACCUCUAAAUUCUUUGGCAUAUAUUUCCUAAGACUAAGAACAUGCUCCUACACAAUGAACACCCAUGAUUAUGCCAUCCAUGUGUGGUUCAAAAAGAAAAAGAAAACAGGAAUGGAAGCUACUUUUUAUCCAUAACUUCAGAUGAUUAUAUCUGAUGGAAUUCUCCAGCUUUAUCCCACAAUGAUUAUACCUGGUGGACUGAGAUCCAAGCCUAGAAUGCUCUGAAUGUUAACGACCCAUUACCAAUCUGGAAAACCAACACAGCUCAUUGAUCUAUUUACACAUUUAUAAGCUCUUACUGCACUACCUCUCCAAGAAUCUGCAUAUUAGUUAAAUUUUACUGAAAUGCGCUAAUGCCAAAGCCAAGCCAGCUGUGCAGACAGGGAUGCCUUUGGAGGGUCUCAAGGGUUUACCGAGGGUGAGCCAUGUGUCAGGUAUAGAGGGGAGACCUAGUCCCUGCCCUCAAGCACACCUCAGCACUAACCAAGGAGACAACCCCAGUGCAGUGUAAGGAGUGCUCCCGCAGAGCAUGGAGAAAGGACUGGUUGACCACCUUGGGGGUGACAGUGGGAAGGGUCAUAUCAGAAGACAAAGCGAACCCAGCCUCGAGCAGUUUGUUCUCUGCCAGGGAAAAAGAAGGCAAAGUGGACACAACUGUGUUUUAGGAGCUAUUUGCAGUAGGUCUCUCUGAAGCCUAAGAGUGUGUUUGAGAUUAUGUCUAGAGAUGACUUUGUGUGGAGCCACAGACACGACCCUCAUCUGAGUACAAUGCUGUGGGGUGUAAGAGGGAAAUGGGAUGGUGUUUGCCUUCUAACAGGGGAGCCUAUACAUGAGGCAUCUUAAGAAAACCAAUUUUUAAACAGGCAAAACCAAACUGUUUCCAGAACUUUCUCAGUUUGUCUCACAUCAUUCUCGGUGCACAAAAUUUUCCUUGCCAUGCUGGCAUUGUCGAAAUAGAAAUUUAUGAACUGUGGCUUUUGGAAAUAGAAAGGCUGAUUUUUCCUGUAAUGCCAGACAUAAGGGACCCUAUACAUGUAACUAACAAAUAGCUUACACAUAAUAAGUUCCAAAGGAGGCAUUUUAUUAAAAUUCAGUGUGGAGAAUAAGCACUGUGAACUCACAGAGGGGGCCUCCUAGAAGAGGCAACACUUAAAGGAUGGCAAACACUCAGAGCUGAUAACUGCCACCACUUUCCCUUUUUCCUGUGGGGCAGAGUGCGGGGAGCAGAGAGAAAAGAGAUUGAAAAUAAAUUAUAAAUGAAAAAGAGAAAACUAUCACAAAAAUUCUCUUCUGGACAUGUGAUACUUUAAAGUUUAAUCGUCAGGUAGGUGGAAAACCUUUUGUGUAAAUGUGAAAGAAGAAUGAAUGGCCAUGAUUUAAAGCAACAGAAUGCAUCUCCCCCAAGUGCUCUCCUUCCCAACACUUGUUUUAUCCGUGUUAGUUCAAAAACAUUUUCCUGGAGUUUCAGGCCUGCGGCUGCGCCAGUGUAAAGUCAGGGUGCAGAGGAAGUCCCCCUCUGUGAUGCCUGGGUCCAAGAGGGGGAACUGGACUGGGGCUGGCUCUCCACCUACUUCUGCUUACUCUACAGAUUGAUUCAGGGGUGUGUGUGUGGGGGGAUAUUUCUAACCUGUUUUUUUUUCCACAGCCUUAUCUGAAAAGUGAAGGUAUUAAUCACUGUCCCUAACAGAACUGGUGGGACGGUUACUUCUCUUGUAAAUAAGUUCCAAAGGAGCUUAAGUAAAAAACUUCCUGGUUUUCAAAUUAGGGAAAGCAGAAUAAUUCUCCAAAGCCAGUAUGCUUUCUCGUUUGCCCAUGCACGAUUAAACGGUCACUCAACGCAAUGUCUCCAUAGUGAGCCUGUGUAUGCACAUUGGUUUUCUUCUGAGAAAGUUCAAAAAUAAGUCAUACCUAGUUUUCUGUGUCAAUAUCAUUAUCGGUAUAUAUCUUUAAAAACACUCAAAAUGCAGAAAAGUAUUGUCUGUUAAAGCUGUUUCAUGUGCAAACCAGUCUUUUCAAUAAGGAACUCAUAAUUUAGACAAAGUAGGUGUUUAAAGAAUUCUUUCAACUACUAAGAAGAGGGGUGUUUUGUUAGAUUUUUAUGGAAGUAAAUGAAAUAUCAUAACAUAGGGAGUUUAUAAUUUUUUUCCUCAGCAAUGGCUUUAUUCAUGGAACUUCCCUUAAAUGUAAAGUUAAUGAUAUGAAAGGUUAAUGAUAUGAAAGGUAAUUUUAUCAUUCAUCAAGAGGUCAGGAUAUGGGUUAUUUCUACAGAACAGUUCAUCUUAUUUUUAGGAGAUAGCCAUUUGUGUGCUUUUGUCAUCCCAGUUAGUUACCAUCUUAAUCAGUAGCAGGUCACACUGGCAGUCCCUCUUUAAUGAUGGAACUCAUGUGGAUUCAAAAAGAAGAUAAUCUUCUUUGCCCCAUUUCUUUAUAGCACACAAGUUGACUUAACUCUAAAAUCAGUUACUGACGUGUAACACAGAAUAAUCAUAUUCUACAGAAAAUGUGAUUUAAAAAAAAAAAAACAAACCACAAAUAAACACCCUUUAGAAAACCAGUCAUUUGAAUUAUAUCUUUCUACCACAGAAUGCUGAAGGUCCUUAUGAGAAAUUCCUGAGAAAAUUAAACAUUUUACAUGUGGUUUUAUAUCACAUACAAGUUGAAACACAGAGGACUAAACUCAAACUCAAGCGAUACUGUUUUAAAUUCUUAAUUUGUAGCUGUUUUAGGCUGGAUGUGAAAAGGAUGAGUUCUCAGAAGAUUUGGGGUGUACCCUCAUCCUUCCUCUAAAUCACUCCUUAUCCCCAUUAAAACUUACCCACCCCAUCCUCCCUCCUCUGUUCUAGAUCUCUCCUUUCAAAGAUAACUAGCCAAAUGAACAUAAUAAACAAGUCCAAGCAGUUGGAGGGGCGGCCGCCACCCCACCGUCUCCAAAUAACUGAUUCGCAUUUCCGAGACGGUUCACCUGAAGCCUUGCCUGCCACCUUGGUUCUCCCACCUGAAGGAGAUGGUUCUAAUGGUAAGAAAUUCAGACUAAGUAGAAGGGAAGGGAAGCACUAAGACAGAGGUACAAUUUCCCAAGAUGAACAAUAAGCAGAAACUUUCUCAGGAUCUUGAUUUUUACAGGCCUUCUUUCAUCUUCCCUGCUUGGUUUUAGGACCUCAAUCAAAACAGCCAACUUCAGAAUUUAGGGAAUUAGAGCUAAGUUCUGAUGGGAAAGCCCAACACUGUUUUCUUAUGCAAUUUAGAUGCUAGUGAAUGGAUCCAAAUAGAAAUUCACAUUGAAUUCCAUUUUAAGGAUUAUGUUUUUUACUGGUACACAAACAAUGUAAAUAAACAUGGGGAAAUAGUUAAAGGGAGCCACCUAAACUUAAUCAUUUUAAUUUUCAAAAGCAUAGUUACCUUCCUUUUCAUCUAUUAAAAUGGCUUUGGAGCUAGAAUGCACCUGGCUUCAUCAACAUAGGAUCAUGCCUUUCAGUAGAAAUAAGUGUAUAUUCACUUCUUAGCAACAAAUUAAUAGUUUCCAAAUAUUUGUACCUUUCAAGGUGAAUAAAGUCAAGGCUCUCUCACCAUGGCUUGGUUAUAAGGGUCAACCACUGUGACUCUUUUCUUUUUAAAGAAAACGCUAUAGCAUGCAGUUCUUUUGGUAUGCAAAUGAGUGGCUGGUGCUGAAAAUAAGCAGCAAAAUAAGAAAAAAUAUAUAUAUAUAUAAUUGUGGAAGGAUCUAACUUAUGACUCAUGUGUGAAGAGAUCCUUAGUGACAAACUUAACACAUAUUUUACUGAUAACAUCUUUCCUGGCAAAUCAGUAAGGUAAAAGGGUAUAUUCAAAUCAUAUGGUCCCCUCUCUAAAAAAAUUAUCCUUCAGAAAAGCAUAAUUUAAGGAGAUUUUCCCCAGAGUGCUGCCUUCGGCUUAGUUCUAUCUGAGGAAGACUAGGUCUGCCAUGUAAGGAAAGGAAUCUAUUGUUAUUUACUAGUACAUCUAGUUCUUCAUUUGGGUAGAUUUUUAUUCACAGUAAGAAGGAAUGGUUUUGACCCCCAAUUCCUGAGAACUAAAUUGUUAAGAACUACAUUUAACUUGGAACCUAUCUUCGGCUACUGAAAAGAACUGUGCUACAGUCAAGUUUACAUUCACAAUAGCUAUUUCAUGCUGUGGGCCUAAAAGUACUAUGGAGCGAGAGGGCUUGAAGUAUGUCUUUCAGAACUGCCAAAGUCAAGAAGACCCUCACUCUAAUUUGUAUUGAAUAACCCAUAUCCAUUUUUCUGCACUGCUGUACACUACACAUGAUGCUUGCUAGUUUUAGGAAGUGGUUAGCAGCUAUAGCUGUUGAUUGCUGGGUCUGUAACUUUGUAUAAUUCUUCUCCUACCACAUUACCAGCUGGCUGGCUGUACAGAUUCCAGAAGAAGCCACUUUUUUAUUACCUCGUGACAUCACUCUGUGCCCAAUGCCUUGGCUAAUAGACUAGCCUUUGUUGUCUGUGAUCAUGGAUUUCCACUCACAGAGCAGUUGUCAUUGGUUAGCUGGGGUCCUCUUUGCAAACCCAGGCCAAAACAUCAAAAGGGGAGCACAGCUUCAACACUGGUGGGCCCUUCUAAUGUCUAAACGUCUGACUCUACUUGCUAUUCUGCAAUAAUUUUGCCUUUAUUCUGUUUGCUGGGGUUUUUGUUUUUCAUCUCUCAUUAUAUUUUUAAUGAGAUUUAAGAUUGUGUAGUGUAUUUAGACAAACUGCUCAUUUUGUGCCAUUUUAGGAGAACCUGAGGAAUCAGGCCCGAGAAGUUUGUCUAGAUAACAUAGUACCAUGGUUUCUGAGCAUUGAGAACAAAAGGGGACCUAUAUGAUGUUUUUAUUUCAGCACAUCUUUUGUGUUUGAGCCAAUAAUAAUUAAAAAAAGGCUGUUAGAGUUUUUAAUAAAAUAGAGCACAUUAUGAAAAACACUGUCAUUUUUCUGAGCACUCUAAUCAGGCAAUUGUGAAAAGAUGAGAGAAAAAAAAUUAUUAUAUUAAAUGUAUUUCUCUUAAUACCUGUGCUCAGAUGUCACCUUUACAAAACAGGAGUAAAAUUUAUGAGUAGAACAGUAUGCAAGCCAUUCACCUUAAAUACGAAUUAGAAAAAAGCUCUUUAAGAGAAGGUUAAGUUAUAGGGCUGGAGGAACUAACAUAACCAAGCAUUUCCUGUGUCCAAGACUGUGGAGGGAGAAAAAAGUCCUUAUUUUGACAAUCUUUAUUGACCGAAAGUCUGUAAAAAUAAACUAAAAUCCUGCAUUGACAUCAUUCACUUCAGAGCUCUUCAUCAUUAAAUGAAUUCAUCUCAGAAAACAGCCGAGUUAAAGAAAAAAGGUACUCUCAGUAAGAAUGACAAAUUUCCUUGGUUUGGAAAUUUCCAAACCACGAUAUUCUGCCCUCUCAAAAUAUAUUCAUUGGGGAAUUUUUAACUUGUGAUACACUUCUUUUGAACUUAAUCACAAUUUUACAUCUAGCUGGUUUCAUGAUUAAAUAAAAGAGAAGGUGAUUCCCCUUUUGCACUAAAGGAGACCACACACUAACUUCUAGGUUCUUCUAUAGUAACACCGAAACCAGAAGCUUGUGGGAGAAAUGUCACUUUAUCUGAGAGAGUAAAAUCAGGCUCUAACAGGAAGUAGCAAAUUCAUCUCUUUCUUUUUUAAUCCACUCCUCUGCUCAAGACAAGUAGUUUGAAACCAAGCACUCUGUAAGUCAUACUUCCUUUACGUAGAUCAAAACCAAAGCCACUGUAGUGCUUUCCCCUAAGGAAUCUCUAAAUAGAAGAUGAUAUAGGCAGUUUACAAUGGAUUCCUUUGUAGGCAAGACCUCCCCUGCCUAUGCCACAUCUUCUGAAAAAAAUAAAAUAAAGGUAAAACCUCAACUAUUUAUUACAGCAUGAAAAUCUACUCCAAACUCUACCUUUGUAAAGCAAGUUAAUUUCAGUUUUAAUCUUUAUGAAUCAUAAAGUAUUAUUUUUAAUAUUCUGGCCUUUCACAUCAAUUACCUUGUGUCCAGGUGAGAUAUAAAUCAGAAAAGGUAGCGCUCUAUCAGAACACAAGGUCUCCCCUCUGCGUUUUAGCAUUUGGGGACUUGCAAGAGUGGUUUCAUUUUUGUUUUAAAGAUGGUACGUAUGAGUAAAUCAUCCAAAGCAACUGCAGGAUAGAAUUUAAAACAUAAGAAUUCUACAAGUCUUCAGAUACAAUGUGAGGUAAAAAUGUCAUCAUUUAAUUGCCAAUUUCUCUACCCACUUCGACAAAUGACUGACUAGGAUUUAAUGAGCUCUUUCCCU
This 7729-nucleotide long non-coding RNA is filed under the name Sus scrofa (pig). RNAcentral's name for it is "lncRNA (ENSSSCG00000059843.1)". The record is from RNAcentral. Lineage: Eukaryota; Metazoa; Chordata; Mammalia; Artiodactyla; Suidae.